Molecule: unclassified non-coding RNA, 2649 nt
Filed under: Daphnia magna
Lineage: Eukaryota; Metazoa; Arthropoda; Branchiopoda; Diplostraca; Daphniidae
Description: arrestin domain-containing protein 2, transcript variant X1
Source: RNAcentral
CGUUCUCCGUUUGCCCUACUAUCCAUCCAGUUGGGCAAGUGAUUCCGCUCCGUCAACAAUCGUUUCGAUCCGUCUCUCCCUUUCUGCUUCCUUUUUUGUUUGACCAGUGAAAGACCCCCUUGUUCAAUAUUCGAAAAUCCAGUGGUCUAUAGUUUUUCAAAUUCAAUCUAGUCGUUUAAUUAAGUGCGCAAAAAGUGCAACAUUAUUCCUUUUUCUACCAGAAGUGAGGAAAUUAAGUGAUCCAAUCAAAUAUACGAGAUAGUUUGUCUAAUUCUGACCGAUCGAGUCUCACGUCUUACAUCAUUGGAACGCUCGGCCUUGAUUGGAACGGCAGACAUGACUAGAUAGAUCAAUUGUUUUGGAGUCCCAACUGUCGGCCAGCGUAACCAUCCAGCCACCGACAUGGAUUACAUCAGAGAAUUCGACAUCCGUUUGGAGAAGGAAAUGUACUACGCAGGCGAAACAGUCUAUGGCGUUGUCAUCCUUGACACCUCAGAAAAUUUCAAACUAAGAGCUGUCCGUGUAGUGCUGCGAGGAAGAGCUCAUCUGGAAUGGAAGGUGGUGGUUUCCGGCGAUCAACAGUCCAUUAGCGACGAUCAGUAUUUUAUCGACGAACGAUCAACUAUCUGGGGAAAAGAGAAAGCCGACGGAUCCAUCCCAGUAUUACCGCGAGGUUAUCAUCAGUUUCCCUUCCACUUUUUGUUGCCGGAGAGCUGUCUGCCCUGCUCCUUCGAGAGCAAGAUAGGCACCGUGCGAUAUUACAUCAAGGCUACGGUUGAUAUUCCGUACGCGUCUCCGCCGCAAGGCAUGAAGUAUUUCACCAUUAUCGGACCACACAUCGACUGUAUGGAAGAACAAUACCUGAAACCACUGAGUCGACGGAGAAAGCGAAUUUCUUGUUGUCUUUGCUGUAAGAAAGGUCCGCUAUCGCUCAGUGUUCAACUCGACAGAUCUGCUUACGUCAGCGGUGAAAGCUUACGCUUAAAAGCUGACAUCCACAACCGCAGCUCUGAAGAAGUGCGACUUCGGCUACGCCUCAUUCAGUACGUCGAGUAUACUAUUCAUAGAGGAGUUCUCGGUGCUAACAAAGAGUUGCAACACGUCGUGCUGGAGUAUCGGGGUGAUCCAGUGCAGCCUGGAAGACGUUCUAAAUUUGAUUCAUCACAGUCACUGGUGUUGCCAGCCUUACCAACGACGCUAGUUGGCGUCUGUCGAAUGAUCAACGUCUAUUACGCCCUUCACGUCAGCUUGCUCCUGGAAUCGGAGGCGGAGGAUUUAACAAUGGAAUUCCCUGUAACAAUAGCCACCGUACCAUUUCGGAUUCCUAACUCGCCUAACCAGCCAGUAGUUUAUUACGAACCAGCGUGUGAACAUGUAGAAGGAGGACGAUAUGUCGGACCAGAGUUCCAGCUCGGCCAAGUUUACGAUGGUGGACCAGCCAAUUGUGAAGCUGACGUGGUUCUUUAUCGUCCCGUUUAUGUUUGCGUCAGCUCGUUGCGGAGUCACCUGAAAACGGGAAACAAUUUUGCCGCCAGUUGUGCAAAGCUGACGCAACAGAACAGCAAAGAUCGCAACACGCUAUUAGCUGCCACUGCAUCGAUCGUUUCCAGUUCUCCUGUCACAAAAGCAGCUAUUACUGAAACAGCCAACGCGGGCCACUCAGCGAAUGACGCAGCACCAGCAAUUUCUCACGAUUCCUGACGCUCCGAUGACAUAAUGAACGGUUUCACGACAGCUAAUCAUCGGUUCCAUUAAGUAAAGAAGAAAACUCGCCAUCUGUCAAUCCCGCACAAAGACGAAUGCAUUUGCAAUUCAAAUGAAUGCCCUGCUAAAAGCCGCAACUGACGUAACAACAAAAGAAAAACUAAUUAUUAUCGCGUAAUGGCCAAGUCGGUUGGACGGCACAUCCGCUUUUAUCCUUAAAGCUUAAAGGCCCUACCACACAAACAAAAGUAACAUAUGCAUAUACAAAUAGAUGAAGGACCCAAGGUGAUUGCAAAUCUGUUGUCCUGAUUGCAGUUUUCAACUGUUGCAUAACCAGCAGCGUGCAAAUAUGUGAAUUAGUUGUUCGUUAUUAUCGUUUUGUUUUGUACACAAAUGGCAUAUGUCUCUCAUUUCCAUAACAGUUACAUUUUAGACAGCCUUGCUUCACGGGAGUGGUAAGUCAGUGAGUACGAGCGACAGAACUAAUACUACUCUACUAGCACCCAACAAAAAAGGAUAUCGGACCUGGGCCGGCCCUCGUUUCGAAAAAAAAAAAAAAAUCCAGUUCAUCGGCUAUCACCGAAUUGAGCAGUUUUGCACUCACUUUGCAAACAACUAAACAAAAAAAACCAAAAAAAUUUCCUAUUUUUUACCAUUUUUUUUUUUAAAGCGUACUAUUAAUGAUGAAACGCUGUUAUGAAUGUAUAUGGACGCUAUGAGCCUUCACGGCCGCGAUUUGAAUCGUUAAUCGUCUUAGAUAUAUUACCCAUGUAAGUCGGUUCUUUACAGGCCAGACUCUCAUUCUUUUCUUCAAAACUCUUUUUACUUUUAUCUUUUCACUAUUCGAAUGUUGCACAUAUACCUUCGUUUUAAUAUGAGUUCCCAAGUUUUCCGUUUUACAUUUGCAUUUCAGUCGUGAAUACAAUCGGACGAUUUAAUAUUUAA